AGAGUUUGAUCAUGGCUCAGGACGAACGCUGGCGGCGUGCUUAACACAUGCAAGUCGAACGGAAAGGCCCCUUCGGGGGUACUCGAGUGGCGAACGGGUGAGUAACACGUGGGUGAUCUGCCCUGCACUUUGGGAUAAGCCUGGGAAACUGGGUCUAAUACCGAAUAGGACCGCAUGCUUCAUGGUGUGUGGUGGAAAGCUUUUGCGGUGUGGGAUGGGCCCGCGGCCUAUCAGCUUGUUGGUGGGGUAAUGGCCUACCAAGGCGACGACGGGUAGCCGGCCUGAGAGGGUGUCCGGCCACACUGGGACUGAGAUACGGCCCAGACUCCUACGGGAGGCAGCAGUGGGGAGUAUUGCACAAUGGGCGCAAGCCUGAUGCAGCGACGCCGCGUGGGGGAUGACGGCCUUCGGGUUGUAAACCUCUUUCAGUAUCGGCGAAGCUCCAGGAUUUUUCUUGGGGUGACGGUAGGUACAGAAGAAGCACCGGCCAACUACGUGCCAGCAGCCGCGGUAAUACGUAGGGUGCGAGCGUUGUCCGGAAUUACUGGGCGUAAAGAGCUCGUAGGUGGUUUGUCGCGUUGUUCGUGAAAUCUUACGGCUUAACUGUGAGCGUGCGGGCGAUACGGGCAGACUUGAGUACUGCAGGGGAGACUGGAAUUCCUGGUGUAGCGGUGGAAUGCGCAGAUAUCAGGAGGAACACCGGUGGCGAAGGCGGGUCUCUGGGCAGUAACUGACGCUGAGGAGCGAAAGCGUGGGGAGCGAACAGGAUUAGAUACCCUGGUAGUCCAA
This 789-nucleotide ribosomal RNA is filed under the name uncultured bacterium. RNAcentral describes it as "bacterial SSU rRNA". It matches the Rfam family "Bacterial small subunit ribosomal RNA", at positions 8 to 798 of the family's 1533-position model. The record is from RNAcentral.